Long non-coding RNA from Eurytemora carolleeae, 333 nucleotides. RefSeq lists it as uncharacterized. NCBI's taxonomy places the organism in Eukaryota, Metazoa, Arthropoda, Copepoda, Calanoida, Temoridae. The transcript has 4 exons. The record is from RefSeq and is a predicted model, not a curated record.
UCAAAUCAAGACUCAUCUCAACAAAGUUCACAAGAUUCUGGAUCCUUCACCAAGGCAAUGUAAUCAAGGCCACCAUGAUUUGAACUUAAAGGUGGAAUCAAGAGGAUUCGGUUAUCUCAGAGUGAGCCGUCUACCAAAGGAAGAGGAAGAGGGAAAAGAAAAUGACCCCUGCCCGGUCUGUUUGUUAUGGAUGAAGUCAGCUGACUUUUCAAGACACAAAAAGGUCUGCGGAGACACAGAAAACUUUAGAUGUGCUAAGAGUUUCGGCAAAUCCUUAAAAGCUAUUGCGACUGCAGGGCUUAAAUCCAAUAAUGGUGGACUGCUGUUUAAAAA